RNAcentral lists this transfer RNA (67 nucleotides) under Propithecus edwardsi (Milne-Edwards sifaka). Its description in RNAcentral is "tRNA-Thr". The record is from RNAcentral. Lineage: Eukaryota; Metazoa; Chordata; Mammalia; Primates; Indriidae.
GUCCUUGUAGUAUAUCUAAUACCCCGGUCUUGUAAACCGAAAAUGGAGAACCCCUCUCCCCAGGACA